AACACCUCGGGUGCACCACGUCCACGUGGACUGCGCAUCCCAUUUCCACCUUUCGUUCUUCCUCCACCAAAGCGAAGGUUAUUAAAACACUACGGUGCGUCCUGACGCAGAACGCUGCUCAGGACAUCCUUAUUUUGAAGCGAGUAGUUGGUCCCUCUGCUCCACCCCGCCUUCCGUCCAUCACUGUCUUUCACUGCUGGGCUCUCCCACGGAUCUUCCCAUGCUGACGGAGAAGAGUUUGCCGAGGUUCACUUCCGAGUAGCUGCUCAGGGACAGGCAUUUGUCUACCGUGCUCUUCAGUUUCCUGUAGGCCUCGGACACUUCCUUCCUGAGGGGCUUCCUCCUUACGAACUCUCUAUCCUCUUCAGUAAUCACUUUAUCCGUUGC
Molecule: long non-coding RNA, 387 nt
Filed under: Gallus gallus (chicken)
Lineage: Eukaryota; Metazoa; Chordata; Aves; Galliformes; Phasianidae
Source: RNAcentral